GUGAGGAAUUUUCCGCAAUGGGCGAAAGCCUGACGGAGCAAUGCCGCGUGAAGGAUGAAGGCCUAUGGGUUGUAAACUUCUUUUCUUAGAGAAGAAUAUUGACGGUAUCUGAGGAAUAAGCAUCGGCUAACUCUGUGCCAGCAGCCGCGGUAAGACAGAGGAUGCAAGCGUUAUCCGGAAUGAUUGGGCGUAAAGCGUCUGUAGGUGGCUUCAAAACUCUCCUGUCAAAGAUCAGGGCUUAACCCUGGGCCGGCAGGAGAAACUCUGAGGCUAGAGUUUGGUAGGGGCAGAGGGAAUUCCCGGUGGAUCGGUGAAAUGCGUAGAGUUCGGGAGGAACACCAAAGGCGAAAGCACUCUGCUGGGCCACAACUGACACUGAGAGACGAAAGCGAGGGGAGCAAAAGGGAUUAGAUACCCCGGUAGUCC
RNAcentral lists this ribosomal RNA (426 nucleotides) under uncultured bacterium. Its description in RNAcentral is "partial 16S ribosomal RNA". It matches the Rfam family "Bacterial small subunit ribosomal RNA", at positions 354 to 796 of the family's 1533-position model. The record is from RNAcentral.